This 697-nucleotide unclassified non-coding RNA is filed under the name Hevea brasiliensis (rubber tree). The record is from RNAcentral. Lineage: Eukaryota; Viridiplantae; Streptophyta; Magnoliopsida; Malpighiales; Euphorbiaceae.
GAGAAAGAGAGAGAGAGAGAGGCAUAAUGAUCAACUAUGGCAAUGAGGAUGAUUAGGGUAAUUCUAGUCAAAUAGAUUAAAUCAUAACUUUUGGAAUUACAUGCAAGCAGAAUGAAAUAUUUAAAGGCUUCAAGCAUUGUCAACUUUAAGGAAAGUAAGAUGCACAGCUUUACUUGGCAUUGCAAGGAGGUUUUUUCCAUGUGACCUCCAUAUAACGCUGGAACAACCUUAUGGUUUCACUGGUAUCCACCCUAUGAAACCACAAAUAUUAUAAAUCUCUCACUAUUUUGAGAUAUAAUCUAUUCUGAAUUAGAAAGAAAAAAAAAAUCCAAUGUUUUAAGGAAAAAUUGGAGAAACAAAUCAUAAACCUAAGCGGUAUGGUUACCUUUUCCUAUAUGGUUAUUAAUAAAUUAUAAUAGUGAAUUCAUUUAUAGAUUCUUCAUUCUUCUAUUGUAAUAGAAAAGAUACCCUUAGAUAUUCCCUGGAAUUGAUAGUCACAACUUCCGAUUGACUGAUAUAAUUUCCUUUAGGAUGCACCAAGAUAGGCAUUUGGAAUGUAGGAACAUGAACUUGAUAGUUUUAGUGCUUAUAAUGUAUAAAUUUUCUUUGAGUAGAUUCAUGAAUGGAGACUAAUUCAUGAAUAUGAUUUUAACUUGUUUGAGUGUCUACUUGGUUAGAGUGGAGAAAGCGAAUCUAU